This 648-nucleotide ribosomal RNA is filed under the name Bacillus tequilensis. RNAcentral describes it as "bacterial SSU rRNA". It matches the Rfam family "Bacterial small subunit ribosomal RNA", at positions 87 to 720 of the family's 1533-position model. Lineage: Bacteria; Bacillati; Bacillota; Bacilli; Caryophanales; Bacillaceae. The record is from RNAcentral.
UGAUGUUAGCGGCGGACGGGUGAGUAACACGUGGGUAACCUGCCUGUAAGACUGGGAUAACUCCGGGAAACCGGGGCUAAUACCGGAUGGUUGUUUGAACCGCAUGGUUCAAACAUAAAAGGUGGCUUCGGCUACCACUUACAGAUGGACCCGCGGCGCAUUAGCUAGUUGGUGAGGUAACGGCUCACCAAGGCAACGAUGCGUAGCCGACCUGAGAGGGUGAUCGGCCACACUGGGACUGAGACACGGCCCAGACUCCUACGGGAGGCAGCAGUAGGGAAUCUUCCGCAAUGGACGAAAGUCUGACGGAGCAACGCCGCGUGAGUGAUGAAGGUUUUCGGAUCGUAAAGCUCUGUUGUUAGGGAAGAACAAGUACCGUUCGAAUAGGGCGGUACCUUGACGGUACCUAACCAGAAAGCCACGGCUAACUACGUGCCAGCAGCCGCGGUAAUACGUAGGUGGCAAGCGUUGUCCGGAAUUAUUGGGCGUAAAGGGCUCGCAGGCGGUUUCUUAAGUCUGAUGUGAAAGCCCCCGGCUCAACCGGGGAGGGUCAUUGGAAACUGGGGAACUUGAGUGCAGAAGAGGAGAGUGGAAUUCCACGUGUAGCGGUGAAAUGCGUAGAGAUGUGGAGGAACACCAGUGGCGAAG